Non-coding RNA from Paramuricea clavata, 387 nucleotides. The record is from the annotation of a GenBank genome assembly. Lineage: Eukaryota; Metazoa; Cnidaria; Anthozoa; Malacalcyonacea; Plexauridae.
GUUUGUUACAGCCAUGAUAUAACAAGGAUGUUACAAGGUUGUCAACACAAGGUUGUAACAAUCUUGUUACAUCAAGCAUGUCACAGACUUGUCAGAACAACCUUGCAACAAGUCUGAUAAUUUCGACAAGGUUGUUACAAGUUGUCAACAAGUUGUUCCAAACCUGUUGACAACUUGUGAUAAGCAGUGCGAAUACAUCUUGUUAACAGCUUGUGAAGAGACUUGUAACAAACUUGUGCGUUUUUAAGUGUGUAUACGCCAACCCUAAAGCAUAGUUAAACUACUUUUUAACUGCAGUUAACACUAAUUACUUUUUAUACAAGAUGGUAGUUACAUUCAGUAUAUAGUUCGUAAUGGGCUAUUCCAUUUAAUAUCCGUCCCCCCCCC